CUCGAGGGUUUGCAGCCUGGCAAGGAUAACCUGGGCCACCACUUGACAAAUGCCUGGCUCAGCUAAUCCUUGUCACAAUCCUCAAGGGUCCAAAGGAGGGUUUAUUUUGCAGGGUGGACCCUUGGGAGUGCUACCAGGACACCUGGCAGACGACCUGCAGCGUGUUGGAACACCACCGGGACCUCAUGAAGAGGGUGACUGGCUGCAUCCUCUCCAAUGUCAACACACCUUCCAUGACACCUGUGAUCGGACAGCCACAAAACGAGACCCCCCAGCCCAUUUACCAGAACAGCAACGUGGCCACCAAGCCCACUGCAGCCAAGAUCUUGGGGAAGGUGGGAGAAAGCCUCAGCCGGAUCUGCUGUGUCCGCCCGCCGGUGGAGCGUUUCACCUUUGUAGAUGAGAAUGCCAAUCUGGGCACGGUGAUGCGGUAUGAAGAGAUUGGUGAGUGGGACUGCGAAAGUGCGGAAAAUGGGGACAUUUGGAGCCCCCUGCCUUCACAACAGGCAACAUGGGGAGCAGAGAGGCUUGAAAACCCAGGGACUGUUUUGCAGCAGGGUCUCCUCUCGGAAGAAGGAUCGUUCCCAGGCUAAGAUUGCAUUUGUAGUUAGCUCCCUUUAACAUCUCUUAACUGGACUCCAGCCAACUCCCAAGAGAUAGAACUGGAUCGUUUGGUGAUUUUUCCUUCAGAGCCUCCCCUCCCUCCUCUAAAAAACAUGAAAGUUGAGCUUUGGCACCAGCUGGAAAGACCCUUCUUUUGGGCACAGACACUGCACACAAAUGAGGCAGAAGAGCACCCCCGCCUUCCUCAUUCAGUGCUUGUAGAUGAAGAAACAGAGAGGGGACUGAAAGCCACCUCCACACCUCCCUUGCAGCCUUGGGCAGAGGCUAAGGCACUUCACUGUCUGUGUGAGGGCUGCCUGCCCAACCCAAUACCAGAGCAGGCCAGGGCGGGCCCGAGCCGGUGGAGGGCGGUUACACAGCUGUCAGGGUGGGAAGGAGUUGAUGACCCCUACAAGCAAAUUGAGAAGCAGAUAGGAACACUGAAAUCUUCCCAGGGUUUCAGAAUGGUGGGAGACGCAGGUGUCUGAAGCUGAGGAAAGGGCAAGGAGACACCAGAAUAGAGCUGGAGCUGGCACAGGUACCAGGGGACAAGAAGGGUCAGUGACAUCAGGAAUGCCUGGAGCUCUAGGGCAAGGCAGCCUGGUGUCCACACCCUCAAUCUUCAACUUCCAGCUGAAAAGAUCCUCCAAGCAUCCCUUCCUGGUACUUUUCUGUCCAAGGACUGGAAGUCACGGCUCCCACUGCAAUCCUGAGAGGCAGGGUUUGUCCUGAGCACUUGGUUCACACAGACCCGGCAGAUGUGAUGUCAUUUCAAGGGGCUUCUCUGGGUCUCAUCCUCUCAUCUGAGGUGCAGUGGUAUCCCUGAAUUGGCUCAGUUGGCUUCCUACAACCAUUUGUAAAGUUUUCAGGAAUUUUGUGAACCAGUUUUAAAUAGAGCCAUUACUAAAAAUUAAGUUAUAUUAACUUAAAAUUAAAUUUAAUUAAAAACAAAAGGAAUGAAUACUCAAAA
This 1573-nucleotide small RNA is filed under the name Pan troglodytes (chimpanzee). RNAcentral describes it as "processed transcript". Lineage: Eukaryota; Metazoa; Chordata; Mammalia; Primates; Hominidae. The record is from RNAcentral.